RNAcentral lists this ribosomal RNA (226 nucleotides) under uncultured bacterium. RNAcentral describes it as "partial 16S ribosomal RNA". It matches the Rfam family "Bacterial small subunit ribosomal RNA", at positions 538 to 763 of the family's 1533-position model. The record is from RNAcentral.
GCGUUAAUCGGAAUUACUGGGCGUAAAGCGCGCGUCGGUGGCUUGAUAAGCCGGUAGUGAAAGCCCCGGGCUCAACCUGGGAACGGCAUCCGGAACUGUCAAGCUAGAGUGCAGGAGAGGAAGGUAGAAUUCCCGGUGUAGCGGUGAAAUGCGUAGAGAUCGGGAGGAAUACCAGUGGCGAAGGCGGCCUUCUGGACUGACACUGACACUGAGGUGCGAAAGCGUG